Molecule: ribosomal RNA, 459 nt
Filed under: uncultured bacterium
Lineage: Bacteria
Description: partial 16S ribosomal RNA
Rfam family: Bacterial small subunit ribosomal RNA
Source: RNAcentral
CCUACGGGUGGCAGCAGUGAGGAAUAUUGGUCAAUGGCCGAGAGGCUGAACCAGCCAAGUCGCGUGAGGGAAGACGGCCCUACGGGUUGUAAACCUCUUUUGUCGGGGAGCAAAGCGAACCACGUGUGGUUCAUUGAGAGUACCCGAAGAAAAAGCAUCGGCUAACUCCGUGCCAGCAGCCGCGGUAAUACGGAGGAUGCGAGCGUUAUCCGGAUUUAUUGGGUUUAAAGGGUGCGCAGGCGGCCUGUUAAGUCAGCGGUAAAAGCCCGGGGCUCAACCCCGGCGAGCCGUUGAAACUGGCGGGCUGGAGUUGGAGAGAAGUACGCGGAAUGCGCGGUGUAGCGGUGAAAUGCUUAGAUAUCGCGCAGAACCCCGAUUGCGAAGGCAGCGUACCGGCUCCACACUGACGCUGAGGCACGAAAGCGUGGGUAUCGAACAGGAUUAGAUACCCCUGUAGUC